AUACCCUGUAGCUCCGGGCUUUUG
Molecule: microRNA, 24 nt
Filed under: Daphnia pulex (common water flea)
Lineage: Eukaryota; Metazoa; Arthropoda; Branchiopoda; Diplostraca; Daphniidae
Description: Dpu-Mir-10-P4_5p* (star (passenger))
Source: RNAcentral